This 273-nucleotide ribosomal RNA is filed under the name uncultured bacterium. RNAcentral's name for it is "partial 16S ribosomal RNA". It matches the Rfam family "Bacterial small subunit ribosomal RNA", at positions 524 to 796 of the family's 1533-position model. The record is from RNAcentral.
UACGAAGGGUGCAAGCGUUCAUCGGAAUUACUGGGCGUAAAGCGCGCGUAGGUGGUUCGUUAAGUUGGAUGUGAAAGCCCCGGGCUCAACCUGGGAACUGCAUCCAAAACUGGCGAGCUAGAGUAUGGCAGAGGGUGGUGGAAUUUCCUGUGUAGCGGUGAAAGGCGGAGAUAUAGGAAGGAACACCAGUGGCGAAGGCGACCACCUGGGCUAAUACUUACACGGAGUUGCUAACGCUUUGUGCGCCAACAGUAUUCGAUCCCAGGGGAGUCC